GGCCGGAUAGCUUAGUGGUCAAAGCUUUUCCGAUUGAUGGAAGCGACCCAGGUUCGACUCCUGGUCCAGCCG
RNAcentral lists this transfer RNA (72 nucleotides) under Microbotryum lychnidis-dioicae p1A1 Lamole. Its description in RNAcentral is "tRNA-Gln (TTG) (tRNA-Gln-TTG-2-1)". It matches the Rfam family "tRNA". From Rfam's summary of the family: Transfer RNA (tRNA) molecules are approximately 80 nucleotides in length. The record is from Rfam by way of RNAcentral. Lineage: Eukaryota; Fungi; Basidiomycota; Microbotryomycetes; Microbotryales; Microbotryaceae.